GAGUUUGAUCAUGGCUCAGAACGAACGCUGGCGGCAUGCCUAACACAUGCAAGUCGAACGAAGGCUUCGGCCUUAGUGGCGCACGGGUGCGUAACGCGUGGGAAUCUGCCCUUGGGUUCGGAAUAACUCAGAGAAAUUUGAGCUAAUACCGGAUGAUGACGUAAGUCCAAAGAUUUAUCGCCCAAGGAUGAGCCCGCGUAGGAUUAGCUAGUUGGUGGGGUAAAGGCCCACCAAGGCGACGAUCCUUAGCUGGUCUGAGAGGAUGAUCAGCCACACUGGGACUGAGACACGGCCCAGACUCCUACGGGAGGCAGCAGUGGGGAAUUUUGGACAAGUGGGGGCAACCCUGAUCCAGCCAUGCCGCGUGUGCGAAGAAGGCC
Molecule: ribosomal RNA, 380 nt
Filed under: uncultured Alphaproteobacteria bacterium
Lineage: Bacteria; Pseudomonadati; Pseudomonadota; Alphaproteobacteria
Description: bacterial SSU rRNA
Rfam family: Bacterial small subunit ribosomal RNA
Source: RNAcentral